RNAcentral lists this ribosomal RNA (558 nucleotides) under uncultured Roseovarius sp. RNAcentral's name for it is "bacterial SSU rRNA". It matches the Rfam family "Bacterial small subunit ribosomal RNA", at positions 338 to 915 of the family's 1533-position model. The record is from RNAcentral. Lineage: Bacteria; Pseudomonadati; Pseudomonadota; Alphaproteobacteria; Rhodobacterales; Roseobacteraceae.
CCUACGGGAGGCAGCAGUGGGGAAUCUUAGACAAUGGGCGCAAGCCUGAUCUAGCCAUGCCGCGUGAGUGACGAAGGCCCUAGGGUCGUAAAGCUCUUUCGCCUGUGAUGAUAAUGACAGUAGCAGGUAAAGAAACCCCGGCUAACUCCGUGCCAGCAGCCGCGGUAAUACGGAGGGGGUUAGCGUUGUUCGGAAUUACUGGGCGUAAAGCGCGCGUAGGCGGAUUGGAAAGUUGGGGGUGAAAUCCCAGGGCUCAACCCUGGAACUGCCUCCAAAACUUCCAGUCUGGAGUUCGAGAGAGGUGAGUGGAAUUCCGAGUGUAGAGGUGAAAUUCGUAGAUAUUCGGAGGAACACCAGUGGCGAAGGCGGCUCACUGGCUCGAUACUGACGCUGAGGUGCGAAAGUGUGGGGAGCAAACAGGAUUAGAUACCCUGGUAGUCCACACCGUAAACGAUGAAUGCCAGUCGUCGGCAAGCAUGCUUGUCGGUGACACACCUAACGGAUUAAGCAUUCCGCCUGGGGAGUACGGCCGCAAGGUUAAAACUCAAAGGAAUGACG